AUUCUUAAAGAUGUGCCUAUAGGACUAGGUUCUUCAAUCCAGCUUCACGUUCGAAAACAGAUAAUGGACAAACCAGAAUGAAGAAAGAAAGCCAACAGUGCCAGUUGCAAGCAUGAUUGCGAGGACCAUGAGGAGAGAAUAACCCAGGUAAAGAGUUGCUGACACAGGUCCGUUCAGACUCUUCAGAUCGAAAACAAGAUAGUUGAUGGAGUACAAGAAGAUAUAUAUUGCAACCGAACCAGACGCAAAGAAAGACUUCCACCACCAUUUAUAGUCCUCCACACAUAGGUGCAUGUAGGUUAGAACCAGUGACACUUCGGCACAAACCACCACAAGUAGGAUCAAUACAACAAAAAGGAACCCAAAAACGUAAUACACUCUGCCCAUCCAAAUACUGGACAUGAUGAAGAAAAGCUCAAUGAAAAGUGUACCAAAUGGGAGGGUGCCAGCCCCAAGAACUAGUAGCCAAGAUGGAUAAUUUUGAGCAGGAAUUUCCCGGGGAAUCUGGUUGGUGCGAACUGGAUAUUCAAUAUGAGGUGCCUUUGCCCCAAAAUAACCCCCAACUAAGGUAAGGGGAACAGAGAUGCAGAACCAGAGCAAAAUGAGAACUAAAAACAGGAAAAAGGGAAUGGCUCCUGUGCUAUGACUACCCCAUAGUAGGAAAUUCAGAGUGGUCAGAAUCAGAAAGGCAAUACCAGGGAAAAAACAUGCAACCCUCCAAGCGACAGAAACCCACUCUUUCUGGUUUCCGCAGAAGAGUGUCCUCCACAAGCGGACAGCGACAUAACCAGCAGCGAUUCCAAGAAACAUGUAAAAGAAUAGCAUGCCUGUUAGCAGUGUUCCUCGAGAAGCAGGGGACAUAAAUCCAAGGGCAGCAAACAAAAUUGUCACGACUGCCAUUCCAAGAAUCUGGACUCCAUCUCCUACCAUAACGCACAACAACGUAGGAUUGCUUGGAGCACGGAAAACAUCAGCCACAACAAGUUUCCAUCCUGACAGCUCUUCAUUCAUCUGGGCUUGAGCCUCCUUGUCAAGCUCCUCAUAACGAGUCAGAUCCCUCCUGACAGUCCUCAAGAAGAUUACAAGGACGAUACCAGCCAAGAAUAUGAUCACCAUAAGAGAGUUAAGAAUGGAAAACCAGUGAACCUUUGCUCCUUCCAUCUUUAGAUAAGCAUCCCAUCUAGAUGGCCAUUUGAUAUCNAGUUGCAAGCAUGAUUGCGAGGACCAUGAGGAGAGAAUAACCCAGGUAAAGAGUUGCUGACACAGGUCCGUUCAGACUCUUCAGAUCGAAAACAAGAUAGUUGAUGGAGUACAAGAAGAUAUAUAUUGCAACCGAACCAGACGCAAAGAAAGACUUCCACCACCAUUUAUAGUCCUCCACACAUAGGUGCAUGUAGGUUAGAACCAGUGACACUUCGGCACAAACCACCACAAGUAGGAUCAAUACAACAAAAAGGAACCCAAAAACGUAAUACACUCUGCCCAUCCAAAUACUGGACAUGAUGAAGAAAAGCUCAAUGAAAAGUGUACCAAAUGGGAGGGUGCCAGCCCCAAGAACUAGUAGCCAAGAUGGAUAAUUUUGAGCAGGAAUUUCCCGGGGAAUCUGGUUGGUGCGAACUGGAUAUUCAAUAUGAGGUGCCUUUGCCCCAAAAUAACCCCCAACUAAGGUAAGGGGAACAGAGAUGCAGAACCAGAGCAAAAUGAGAACUAAAAACAGGAAAAAGGGAAUGGCUCCUGUGCUAUGACUACCCCAUAGUAGGAAAUUCAGAGUGGUCAGAAUCAGAAAGGCAAUACCAGGGAAAAAACAUGCAACCCUCCAAGCGACAGAAACCCACUCUUUCUGGUUUCCGCAGAAGAGUGUCCUCCACAAGCGGACAGCGACAUAACCAGCAGCGAUUCCAAGAAACAUGUAAAAGAAUAGCAUGCCUGUUAGCAGUGUUCCUCGAGAAGCAGGGGACAUAAAUCCAAGGGCAGCAAACAAAAUUGUCACGACUGCCAUUCCAAGAAUCUGGACUCCAUCUCCUACCAUAACGCACAACAACGUAGGAUUGCUUGGAGCACGGAAAACAUCAGCCACAACAAGUUUCCAUCCUGACAGCUCUUCAUUCAUCUGGGCUUGAGCCUCCUUGUCAAGCUCCUCAUAACGAGUCAGAUCCCUCCUGACAGUCCUCAAGAAGAUUACAAGGACGAUACCAGCCAAGAAUAUGAUCACCAUAAGAGAGUUAAGAAUGGAAAACCAGUGAACCUUUGCUCCUUCC
RNAcentral lists this long non-coding RNA (2258 nucleotides) under Daucus carota (carrot). RNAcentral describes it as "long non-coding RNA (DCAR_LNC002897)". The record is from RNAcentral. Lineage: Eukaryota; Viridiplantae; Streptophyta; Magnoliopsida; Apiales; Apiaceae.